This 229-nucleotide ribosomal RNA is filed under the name uncultured bacterium. Its description in RNAcentral is "partial 16S ribosomal RNA". It matches the Rfam family "Bacterial small subunit ribosomal RNA", at positions 118 to 347 of the family's 1533-position model. The record is from RNAcentral.
UGGGCAACCUGCCCUCAGCUCUGGGAUAACUCCAAGAAAUUGGGGCUAAUACCGGAUAUGACCGCUGACCGCAUGGUCUGGUGGUGGAAAGAUUUAUCGGCUGGGGAUGGGCCCGCGGCCUAUCAGCUUGUUGGUGGGGUAGUGGCCUACCAAGGCGACGACGGGUAGCCGGCCUGAGAGGGUGACCGGCCACACUGGGACUGAGACACGGCCCAGACUCCUACGGGAG